GUCUUCUCUCUUGGCUUUGGAGCUCCCCAUUCCUCUGUGUCUGUAACAGGGGAGCUUCUUCCUUCUUUCUUCUCCCUUCUUUCUUGCCUGUUAAACUCUCUGCUUCUUAAAACCACUCCAUGUAUGUCCAGGUCAUUUUAUCUAAUUUGGAGACGGAGAACCCUGGUGUUCCUCUGCUCAUCAGAGCCGUCUCACCUGCAAGGGCCAGGAUCCAGCACUAGGGCUGCCCUUUAUGUUCAUGCAGCCUCCACUAGGAAGAUCCUCCUUAGCUGCCACCUGCUGUAAAGGGAUCUAUCUAUCUAUCUGUCUAUCUAUCUAUCUAUCUAUCUUUCUAUCUACCUGUCGAGAGAGAGAGAGGUUUAUUAUAAGGAAUUGACUCAUGUGAUUAUGGAGGCUGAGAAGUUCCACAGUCUGCUGUCUGCAAGCUGGAGACCCAGGAAGGCUGCUGGUGCCGUUCCAGUUUGAUUCUGAAGGCCUGAGAACCAGAACUGAUGCCCACUCAACAUGAAGAUGACAAGGAUGAAGACCUUUAUGAUGAUCCAUUCCCACUUACUGAAUAACAGGGUCUCACUCUGUCACCCAGACGGGUGUGCAGUGGCAUGAUCAUGGCUCACUGCAGCCUUGAUUCCAAGGGUGAAGUGAUCUUUCCACCUCAGCAUCCCAAGUAGCUGGGACUACAGGAUGAAGCUUCUUGGUGAUGUAACAGUCUGUGGAAACUCCCACAGGACAAAUGCAGAAAGGAAGGACCUAGAUCACUGGAUGGUCAACGUUGCCCCUUGCACAGCAGCAAAGGCCUAUACAAAUUUUUUGAGUAGCUUUAUCUAGUGGUUCAGCUACUGGGAAUAACUUGUAAAAUCCCCUGGAUAGUCAACAGCAUUGGGGCUUGCUUUGUAAACAGAGACCUGACCUACUUAAUUCUUCCCAGAGGUUGGAAAAAGAGGCUGGACUCACACAGACAUGAAACCUUGGCUUAAUUGGACACUAAUUACUCAUAAGAGAUCUGUUUACCCGAACUUCCCCUAGACCAAGCUCAGUAUAAAAUGAGAGGAUGCAUAAAGAAGCAAGAUAUUUAGAGGAAAAUGUCACAAAUACAUUUAUCAGUCCCAAAAGUCCUUUUUUUUCCCCAGAAGUGAUGUUGCUAAUUGCACAAAAAUAAACAAUACAGGGGUUGAUAAAUUCCACAUUUAAGGGCUGAGGAUAGUGUCCCUACAUUUCUAAGAAGCUGUAUAUUUGGAAAUGAAUACAAUUGAAAGUAAGGAUAAGUGGCAUUCUAAAGCCAAUUGGAUAACUUGAAUGAACAAGCAGAAUUUACCAUAUUUUGAUAUGUUUCUUUUUGAUUAAAGUAUCUGUAAAGGAAACAAAUUAUAGUAUUGCUAUAGAUUUUAUUACUGAACAAGAAAAAAAGGCUUGAUGUUGUGCAUUUCCUUUUGGCCUUUGGUCUUGGCUGAUAUUGGGCAUCCAAUGAGCUUCUUUGUCUUGAAUGAAGACUUAAGAGGGAGUGAAAAGUAGGAAGAGCAUCAAAACUUCUUUGCAGGAUGUAAUCAAACCACCUACUACUUAUUGUCUUACGAUCCAUUUAUUCAACAAAUGGAACAUCUCAAUUGCUUGAUGCUAUUACAGACACUAGGUAUAGUCUUAGAAAAACAAAUUGCUGUUUUUAUAUAGCUUGUGUUAUGGGUUGAUGUAGUACAGUCAAAAUUAUUUAAAUAAAGGAAGAUGUGAGGAAGACUUUGAACUUAGAAAUCUGGGUUCUCAUCCAAGCUUUGCUGCUAGCUUGUUGGGGGAACCUUGGGUGAUGAGUUGGUUGACUCCUUCCAGAUCUCAGCGUUCAUCCAUCAAGUGAGGGAACUUGACCAGAUAUUCAAUAAUGGCCCUUCCAGCCCCAUCUCUAUAUGAAAGGGAAACCACAGUAUGGGCCCAUGGGGAAGAUCAUGGACUUUGGAGUAAAACAUUUCUGGCUUGGUCAAUUAUUUAAUCUCUUGAUCCCGAUCAAUUCAUGUAACUACUCUGACCCUCAGUUUCCUUGCUGCAAAAUGAGAUACUAAUAUUUGCUCAAAUAAGAUAACAGGCAAAACAAUCAUGAGGGCUCCUGGCACACCACUGUGCAUGGCUUUUGCUCCCUUGGGGAGCUUAUAAAUGAAAAAAAGAUUUUACAAUGCAAAGACAGUAAGCAUUUUGUUAGUGAAGCAACAAAAUAAUUGGGCAAUUUCCUCUCAAUUGCACCAUCAACUGAUGCCCAACCUAGAAAGCAUUUGGCUAAGAAUGGAAAAGGAAUCUUUGCCCAGAUCCCUCAAUUUUGACCAUCAUGGCAUAUACAUGAAUUGGCAGACUAAAUUUAUGCUCCUUUUGAAAACUGUGUCCAUUCCAAGAAGUCAGGCUAUUUUCACCCAGCCUGGUCUAGGCAGUGGGACUCCCCAAGGCUACAAGCAGAGCCACAGUGCUCUGGGCUGGGCUGCCACACUGUCAUGCUGGGGCAAAGAUGGCAGCAGACAGCUCUCUUGGGUAACAGCAGGAAGCUCUUUUCACAAGAGUGAUCUCAUCUCUUAGGGGACUAUGGUAGAAACACAGGGCAAAAGCUAUAGGAAUGGUCCAACAUAAUAACUGUUUUUUUUUUUAAUUUUCAAAACAUGAUAAAUGAUUAAGAAUAUAAAACUGGAAUUUAGAACUUACAGAGAACUUGUAUGAAUAAAUUAAAAAGACAACCUAAUUUUAAAAUGGGCAGAAGUCUUGGGCAGGCACAUUACAAUAUAGCAGGGGUCACCAAAUUAAAGCCUCACCAGCAAAAUCCACCUCCCAUCCCAGCCUGUUUUUAUAAAUAAGCUGUGUUGGAACACAGCCAAUCCCAUUCAUUCACACAUUGCCCAUGGCUGCUUUUGCUUGACAACAGCAUAGUUGAGUAGUAGGGACAAGACCAUAUGACCUCCAAAGCCAGAGAUAUUAACUGUCAGGCCCUUUAUAGAGUGAUUCACGGAGACCCCCAUAAUAGAGGAAAAUACAAGUGGCCAAUAGCACAUAAGAAGAUGCCCAGUAUUACAGCCAAGAGGAAAAUGCAAAUUACACCCACAGUAAGAUACCAUUAUGCAUCCAUUAGAAAGGCUAAAAUUAAAAGGACUGACAACAACAAGUGUUGACAAUGGUGGGUAACAGCAAGAGCUCUCAUACACUGAUGGUUGAAGUGUAAAUUGGUUCAGUUUUGGAAAAGAGUUUGGAGGUGUCUACUACAGUUAAACAUACAUAUUUCCAUGCCCCAGAAACUCCUGGGCAUAUUCUCAAAAGAAACGAGGGCUGUGGCCACCAAGAGACAUGUGUGAGAAAGGUCCUAGCACCUUUAUAUAUCAUAGUCCCAAACAGAAAACAACACAUACCCAUCCACGUUAGGAUGAACUAAAUAAAUUGGGGCAUAUGCAUUCAAUGGAAUAGUACAUAGCAAUGAAAAAAUAAACUGUUGCCCCAUGCAAAGAUGUUUUACAGACAUAACGUUAAGCAGAAGAAAGCAGAUCUCAAGGAGCCCACAUUGUACAAUUCCGAUCUAUAUGAAGCUCAAUAACACAUGGUACUAGAAGUUGUAAUAGCAGUUACCUGUAGGACUGGAGGUUUGUAUUGAAAGAGAAGGAACAUCAGGAAGUCUGCUGGAGCCUGGAAAUGUCUGAGAUGUUGCUCUGGGAGGCAGUUGCAUGGCUGUAGACAUAUGUAAGACAUUAUUGGAUGGUAUACCUGAGAUUGGAGCACCUACAAUAGAAGGUACAGUGUUACAUCUCAGU
This 3761-nucleotide long non-coding RNA is filed under the name Homo sapiens (human). Its description in RNAcentral is "HSALNT0404180". Lineage: Eukaryota; Metazoa; Chordata; Mammalia; Primates; Hominidae. The record is from RNAcentral.